AACGAACGCUGGCGGCAUGCCUAACACAUGCAAGUCGAACGAGACCUUCGGGUCUAGUGGCGCACGGGUGCGUAACGCGUGGGAACCUGCCCUUAGGUUCGGAAUAACUCCCCGAAAGGGGUGCUAAUACCGGAUAAUGUCUUCGGACCAAAGAUUUAUCGCCUUUGGAUGGGCCCGCGUUGGAUUAGCUAGUUGGUAGGGUAAAAGCCUACCAAGGCGACGAUCCAUAGCUGGUCUGAGAGGAUGAUCAGCUACACUGGGACUGAGACACGGCCCAGACUCCUACGGGAGGCAGCAGUGGGGAAUAUUGGACAAUGGGCGAAAGACUGAUCCAGCAAUGCCGCGUGAGUGAGGAAGGCCUUAGGGUUGUAAAGCUCUGUUAACCGGGAUGAUAAUGACAGUACCGGGAGAAUAAGCGCCGGCUAACUCCGUG
This 433-nucleotide ribosomal RNA is filed under the name uncultured bacterium. RNAcentral's name for it is "partial 16S ribosomal RNA". It matches the Rfam family "Bacterial small subunit ribosomal RNA", at positions 29 to 507 of the family's 1533-position model. The record is from RNAcentral.